Molecule: ribosomal RNA, 497 nt
Filed under: uncultured bacterium
Lineage: Bacteria
Description: partial 16S ribosomal RNA
Rfam family: Bacterial small subunit ribosomal RNA
Source: RNAcentral
GAUGAACGCUGGCGGCGUGCCUAAUACAUGCAAGUCGAGCGAACGGACGAGAAGCUUGCUCCUCUGACGUUAGCGGCGGACGGGUGAGUAACACGUGGAUAACCUACCUAUAAGACUGGGAUAACUUCGGGAAACCGGAGCUAAUACCGGAUAAUAUUUUGAACCGCAUGGUUCAAAAGUGAAAGACGGUCUUGCUGUCACUUAUAGAUGGAUCCGCGCCGCAUUAGCUAGUUGGUAAGGUAACGGCUUACCAAGGCAACGAUGCAUAGCCGACCUGAGAGGGUGAUCGGCCACACUGGAACUGAGACACGGUCCAGACUCCUACGGGAGGCAGCAGUAGGGAAUCUUCCGCAAUGGGCGAAAGCCUGACGGAGCAACGCCGCGUGAGUGAUGAAGGUCUUCGGAUCGUAAAACUCUGUUAUUAGGGAAGAACAAAUGUGUAAGUAACUGUGCACAUCUUGACGGUACCUAAUCAGAAAGCCACGGCUAACUACGUG